GGGCCUUUAGCUCAGUCGGUUAGAGCUGCAGACUCAUAAUCUGUAGGUCCGGGGUUCAAGUCCCUGAAGGCCCA
RNAcentral lists this transfer RNA (74 nucleotides) under Treponema sp. RNAcentral's name for it is "tRNA-Ile". It matches the Rfam family "tRNA". From Rfam's summary of the family: Transfer RNA (tRNA) molecules are approximately 80 nucleotides in length. The record is from RNAcentral. Lineage: Bacteria; Pseudomonadati; Spirochaetota; Spirochaetia; Treponematales; Treponemataceae.